AAGUUGGUUCAGGGUUAAACAUGAAAAGUUGGUUGAGGGUUAAACCUUGAGAACCAGGUCCAGGGCUAAAACCUUGAGAACCUGGUCCAGGGCUAAACCUUUAGAACCUGGUCGAGGGUUAAAGGUGAGGAGUUGGUCGAGGGUUAAAGGUGAGGAGUUGGUCGAGGGCUACAGGUGAGGAGUUGGUCGAGGGCUACAGGUGAGGAGUUGGUCGAGGGCUAAAGGUGAGGAGUUGGUCGAGGGUUAAAGGUGAGGAGUUGGUCGAGGGUUAAAGGUGAGGAGUUGUUCGAGGGUUAAAGGUGAGGAGUUGGUCGAGGGUUAAAGGUGAGGAGUUGGUCGAGGGUUAAAGGUGAGGAGUUGGUCGAGGGUUAAAGGUGAGGAGUUGGUCGAGGGUUAAAGGUGAGGAGUUGGUCGAGGGUUAAAGGUGAGGAGUUGGUCGAGGGUUAAAGGUGAGGAGUUGGUCGAGGGUUAAAGGUGAGGAGUUGGUCGAGGGUUAAAGGUGAGGAGUUGGUCGAGGGUUAAAGGUGAGGAGUUGGUCGAGGGUUAAAGGUGAGGAGUUGGUCGAGGGUUAAAGGUGAGGAGUUGGUCGAGGGUUAAAGGUGAGGAGUUGGUCGAGGGUUAAAGGUGAGGAGUUGGUCGAGGGUUAAAGGUGAGGAGUUGGUCGAGGGUUAAAGGUGAGGAGUUGGUCGAGGGUUAAAGGUGAGGAGUUGGUCGAUGGUUAAAGGUGAGGAGUUGGUCGAUGGUUAAAGGUGAGGAGUUGGUCGAGGGCUAAAGGUGAGGAGUUGGUCGAGGGCUAAAGGUGAGGAGUUGGUCGAUGGUUAAAGGUGAGGAGUUGGUCGAGGGCUAAAGGUGAGGAGUUGGUCGAGGGCUAAAGGUGAGGAGUUGGUCGAGGGCUAAAGGUGAGGAGUUGGUCGAGGGCUAAAGGUGAGGAGUUGGUCGAGGGUUAAAGGUGAGGAGUUGGUCGAGGGUUAAAGGUGAUGAGUUGGUCGAGGGCUAAAGGUGAGGAGUUGGUAGAGGGCUAAAGAUGAUGAGUUGGUCGAGGGCUAAAGGUGAGGAGUUGGUCGAGGGCUAAAGGUGAGGAGUUGGUCGAGGGUUAAAGGUGAGGAGUUGGUCGAGGGCUAAAGGUGAGGAGUUGGUCGAGGGCUAAAGGUGAGGAGUUGGUCGAGGGUUAAAGGUGAGGAGUUGGUCGAGGGUUAAAGGUGAGGAGUUGGUCGAGGGUUAAAGGUGAGGAGUUGGUCGAGGGCUAAAGGUGAGGAGUUGGUCGAGGGCUAAAGGUGAGGAGUUGGUCGAGGGUUAAAGGUGAGGAGUUGGUAGAGGGCUAAAGGUGAGGAGUUGGUAGAGGGCUAAAGGUGAGGAGUUGGUAGAGGGCUAAAGGUGAGGAGUUGGUCGAGGGCUAAAGGUGAGGAGUUGGUCGAUGGUUAAAGGUGAGGAGUUGGUCGAGGGUUAAAGGUGGGGAGUUGGUCGAGGGUUAAAGGUGGGGAGUUGGUCGAGGGUUAAAGGUGAGGAGUUGGUCGAUGGUUAAAGGUGAGGAGUUGGUCGAGGGUUAAAGGUGAUGAGUUGGUCGAGGGCUAAAGGUGAGGAGUUGGUAGAGGGCUAAAGAUGAUGAGUUGGUCGAGGGCUAAAGAUGAUGAAUUGGUGGAGGGUUAAAGGUGAGGAGUUGGUC
Molecule: long non-coding RNA, 1663 nt
Organism: Oncorhynchus keta (chum salmon)
Lineage: Eukaryota; Metazoa; Chordata; Actinopteri; Salmoniformes; Salmonidae
Exons: 10
Source: RefSeq, a predicted model, not a curated record